GGUCAAGUGAAGAAGCGCAUACGGUGGAUGCCUUGGCAGUCAGAGGCGAUGAAAGACGUGGUAGCCUGCGAUAAGCUUUGGGGAGUCGGCAAACAGACUGUGAUCCAGAGAUCUCUGAAUGGGGGAACCCACUCAGCAUAAGCUGAGUAUCUUGUACUGAAUACAUAGGUGCAAGAGGCGAACCAGGGGAACUGAAACAUCUAAGUACCCUGAGGAAAAGAAAUCAACCGAGAUUCCCUUAGUAGUGGCGAGCGAACGGGGACCAGCCCUUAAGUUGGUUUGAGAUUAGUGGAACGCUCUGGAAAGUGCGGCCAUAGUGGGUGAUAGCCCCGUACACGAAAAUCUCUUGUCAAUGAAAUCGAGUAGGACGGAGCACGAGAAACUUUGUCUGAAUAUGGGGGGACCAUCCUCCAAGGCUAAAUACUACUGACUGACCGAUAGUGAACCAGUACCGUGAGGGAAAGGCGAAAAGAACCCCGGAGAGGGGAGUGAAAUAGAACCUGAAACCGUAUGCGUACAAGCAGUGGGAGCCUACUUUGUUAGGUGACUGCGUACCUUUUGUAUAAUGGGUCAGCGACUUAUAUUCAGUGGCGAGCUUAACCGAAUAGGGGAGGCGUAGCGAAAGCGAGUCUUAAUAGGGCGUUUAGUCGCUGGGUAUAGACCCGAAACCGGGCGAUCUAUCCAUGGGCAGGUUGAAGGUUAGGUAACACUGACUGGAGGACCGAACCGACUACCGUUGAAAAGUUAGCGGAUGACCUGUGGAUCGGAGUGAAAGGCUAAUCAAGCUCGGAGAUAGCUGGUUCUCCUCGAAAGCUAUUUAGGUAGCGCCUCAUGUAUCACUCCAGGGGGUAGAGCACUGUUUCGGCUAGGGGGUCAUCCCGACUUACCAAACCGAUGCAAACUCCGAAUACCUGGAAGUGCCGAGCAUGGGAGACACACGGCGGGUGCUAACGUCCGUCGUGAAAAGGGAAACAACCCAGACCGUCAGCUAAGGUCCCAAAGUCAUGGUUAAGUGGGAAACGAUGUGGGAAGGCUUAGACAGCUAGGAGGUUGGCUUAGAAGCAGCCACCCUUUAAAGAAAGCGUAAUAGCUCACUAGUCGAGUCGGCCUGCGCGGAAGAUGUAACGGGGCUCAAACCAUGCACCGAAGCUACGGGUGUCAUCUUUGAUGACGCGGUAGAGGAGCGUUCUGUAAGCCUGUGAAGGUGAGUUGAGAAGCUUGCUGGAGGUAUCAGAAGUGCGAAUGCUGACAUGAGUAACGACAAUGCGAGUGAAAAACUCGCACGCCGAAAGACCAAGGUUUCCUGCGCAACGUUAAUCGACGCAGGGUUAGUCGGUCCCUAAGGCGAGGCUGAAAAGCGUAGUCGAUGGAAAACAGGUUAAUAUUCCUGUACUUCCAGUUAUUGCGAUGGAGGGACGGAGAAGGUUAGGCCAGCCUGGCGUUGGUUGUCCAGGUUUAAGGUGGUAGGCUGAAAUCUUAGGCAAAUCCGGGAUUUCAAGGCCGAGAGCUGAUGACGAGUUGCCU
Molecule: ribosomal RNA, 1524 nt
Filed under: Pseudomonas putida
Lineage: Bacteria; Pseudomonadati; Pseudomonadota; Gammaproteobacteria; Pseudomonadales; Pseudomonadaceae
Description: partial 23S ribosomal RNA
Rfam family: Bacterial large subunit ribosomal RNA
Source: RNAcentral